AAUUGGCCCAAAGGGACUACUACAGGAGGCAGCAGUGGGGAAUAUUGGACAAUGGGCGAAAGCCUGAUCCAGCCAUGCCGCGUGUGUGAAGAAGGUCUUCGGAUUGUAAAGCACUUUAAGUUGGGAGGAAGGGCAGUUACCUAAUACGUGUAUGUUUUAAGUACCGACGAGAUAACAACG
Molecule: ribosomal RNA, 180 nt
Filed under: uncultured bacterium
Lineage: Bacteria
Description: partial 16S ribosomal RNA
Rfam family: Bacterial small subunit ribosomal RNA
Source: RNAcentral